GUUAACGUAGCUUAAGUAAAAGCCUGGCACUGAAGAUGCCAAGAUGAGGCCUCACAACCCCCGAUAACA
This 69-nucleotide transfer RNA is filed under the name Moringua microchir (lesser thrush eel). RNAcentral describes it as "tRNA-Phe". Lineage: Eukaryota; Metazoa; Chordata; Actinopteri; Anguilliformes; Moringuidae. The record is from RNAcentral.